This 491-nucleotide ribosomal RNA is filed under the name uncultured bacterium. RNAcentral's name for it is "partial 16S ribosomal RNA". It matches the Rfam family "Bacterial small subunit ribosomal RNA", at positions 29 to 506 of the family's 1533-position model. The record is from RNAcentral.
AGUGAACGCUGGCGGUAGGCCUAACACAUGCAAGUCGAACGGCAGCACAGUAAGAGCUUGCUCUUACGGGUGGCGAGUGGCGGACGGGUGAGGAAUACAUCGGAAUCUACUUUUUCGUGGGGGAUAACGUAGGGAAACUUACGCUAAUACCGCAUACGACCUACGGGUGAAAGCAGGGGAUCUUCGGACCUUGCGCGAUUGAAUGAGCCGAUGUCGGAUUAGCUAGUUGGCGGGGUAAAGGCCCACCAAGGCGACGAUCCGUAGCUGGUCUGAGAGGAUGAUCAGCCACACUGGAACUGAGACACGGUCCAGACUCCUACGGGAGGCAGCAGUGGGGAAUAUUGGACAAUGGGCGCAAGCCUGAUCCAGCCAUACCGCGUGGGUGAAGAUGGCCUUCGGGUUGUAAAGCCCUUUUGUUGGGAAAGAAAAGCAGCAGGUUAAUACCCCGCUGUUCUGACGGUACCCAAAGAAUAAGCACCGGCUAACUUCGU